Molecule: transfer RNA, 73 nt
Filed under: Blastopirellula sediminis
Lineage: Bacteria; Pseudomonadati; Planctomycetota; Planctomycetia; Pirellulales; Pirellulaceae
Description: tRNA-Pro
Rfam family: tRNA
About the family: Transfer RNA (tRNA) molecules are approximately 80 nucleotides in length.
Source: RNAcentral
CGGGUAGAGGUGCAGAAGGAAGCACGCCGGUUUUGGGAACCGGAGGCUCUCGGUUCGACUCCGAGGUGCCCGA